UACAGAGGGGGCAAGCGUUAUUCGGAAUUACUGGGCGUAAAGGGCGCGUAGGCGGCCUUCUAAGUCAUGCGUGAAAUCCCCGGGCUCAACCCGGGAACUGCGUCUGAUACUGGAAGGCUUGAAUCCGGGAGAGGGAUGCGGAAUUCCAGGUGUAGCGGUGAAAUGCGUAGAUAUCUGGAGGAACACCGGUGGCGAAGGCGGCAUCCUGGACCGGCAUUGACGCUGAGGCGCGAAAGCUAGGGGAGCAAACGGG
Molecule: ribosomal RNA, 253 nt
Filed under: uncultured bacterium
Lineage: Bacteria
Description: partial 16S ribosomal RNA
Rfam family: Bacterial small subunit ribosomal RNA
Source: RNAcentral